AGUUCGAUUCUGGCUCAGAUUGAACGCUGGCGGGAUGCUUUACACAUGCAAGUCGAACGGCAGCACGGACUUCGGUCUGGUGGCGAGUGGCGAACGGGUGAGUAAUGUAUCGGAACGUGCCUAGUAGCGGGGGAUAACUACGCGAAAGCGUAUUACUACCGCAUACGCCCUUCGGGGGAAAGUGACCUUCGGGCCUCGCACUAUUAGGAGCGGCCGAUAUCGGAUUAGCUGGUUGCGGGUAACGGCUCACCAAGUGCGACGAUCCGUAGCUGGUUUGAGAGGACGACCAGCCACACUGGACUGAGACACGGCCCAGACUCCUACGGAGGCAGCAGUGGGGAAUUUUGGACAAUGGGGAAACCCUGAUCCAGCCAUCCCGCGUGUGCGAUGAAGGCCUUCGGGUUGUGAAGCACUUUUGGCAGGGGAAAGAAACGGCACGGAUAAUACCCCGUGCAACCGAUGGUACCUGCAGAAUAAGCACCGGCUAACUACGUGCCAGCAGCCGUGGGUAAUACGUAGGGCGCAAGCGUUAAUUUGAAUCACGGGCGUAAAGCGUGCGCAGGGCGGUUCGGAAAGAAAGAUGUGAAAUGAGCUAACUUUGAACUGCAUUUUUAACUACCGAGUUUAGAGUGUUUGAGGGAGGUGGAAUUCCGUGUAGCAGUGAAAUGCGUAGAUAUGCGAGAACACUGAUGGCGAAGGCAGCCUCCUGGGAUAACACUGACGCUCAUGCACGAAAGCGUGGGAGCAAACAGUGAUUAGAUAUCUGGUAGUCCACGCCCCAAACGAUGUCAACUAGCUGUUAGCUUCGGCCUGUAGCGCAGCUAACGCGUGAAGUUGACCGCCUGGGGAGUACGGUCGCAAGAUUAAAACUCAAAGGAAUUGACGGGGACCCGCACAAGCGGUGGAUGAUGCGGGAUUUCUUGACCUGAUGCAAAACGCGAAAACCUUACCUACCCUUUGACAUGUCUGGAAUCCCGAAGAGAUUUGGGAGUGCUCGCAAGAGAACCGGAACACAGGUGCCAGCGCACAUUGCCGUCAGCUCGUGUCGUGAGAUGUUGGGUUAAGUCCUCGCAACGAGCGCAACCCUGGUCAUUAGCUGCUACGAAAGGGCACUGGCGAGACUGCCGGUGACAAACCGGAGGAAGGUGGGGAUGACGUCAAGUCCUCAUGGCCCUUAUGGGUAGGGCUUCAAGACACGUCAUACAAUGGUCGGGACAGAGGGUCGCCAACCCGCGAGGGGGAGCCAAUCCCAGAAACCCGGAUCGCAGUCCGGAUCGCAGUCUUGCAACUCGACUGCGUGAAGUCGGAAUCGCUAGUAAUCGCGGAUCAGCAUGUCGCGGUGAAUACGUUCCGGUCUUGUACACACCGCCCGUCACACCAUGGGAGUGGGUUUUACCAGAAGUAGUUAGCCUAACCGGGGCGAGGCGAUUACCACGGUAGGAUCUCAUGACUGGGGUAGUCGCAAUACGGUAG
Molecule: ribosomal RNA, 1473 nt
Filed under: uncultured Bordetella sp.
Lineage: Bacteria; Pseudomonadati; Pseudomonadota; Betaproteobacteria; Burkholderiales; Alcaligenaceae
Description: partial 16S-23S ribosomal RNA intergenic spacer
Rfam family: Bacterial small subunit ribosomal RNA
Source: RNAcentral